GGAUUGAGACAAUGUACAAAUGUUAUCGAUAAACAAUUGGAGGGCAAGUCUGGUGCCAGCAGCCGCGGUAAUUCCAGCUCCAAUAGCGUAUAUUAACGUUGUUGCAGUUAAAAAGCUCGUAGUUGAAUUGAAGUGAACUUGGGUUGAUGUGAUCUUCGGAUGACAUGAAUCAAAGUUGACUCUUUCCAAAGUCAAUACAUUGGUAUUCAUUUAUCUUUGUAUUGUGUUUGGUCAUUUACUGUGAGAAAAUUAGAGUGUUCAAAGCAGACGUUUGUUUGAAUACAUUAGCAUGGAAUAAUCAUAUAUGGCUUUCAUGUUGAUUUGAUUGGUUUGAAUAUGGAAGCAAGAUUAAAAGGGACAGUUGGGGGUAUUCAUAUUCAAUAGUCAGAGGUGAAAUUCUGGGAUUUAUGGAAGAUGAACAAGUGCGAAAGCAUUUACCAAGGAUGUUUUCAUUAAUCAAGAACGAAAGUUAGGGGAUCGAAGAGGAU
RNAcentral lists this ribosomal RNA (488 nucleotides) under Blastocystis sp. subtype 4. RNAcentral's name for it is "SSU rRNA". It matches the Rfam family "Eukaryotic small subunit ribosomal RNA", at positions 511 to 1008 of the family's 1831-position model. Lineage: Eukaryota; Bigyra; Opalinata; Blastocystidae. The record is from RNAcentral.